CUUGUACAAUAAUAGGGCAAGCUCUAGAAGAUGUCCAAAAGAGUUCAAUCAAGCUUCAGAAGUGUUCUGAAGUAGUUAUCUUGUGAAGAUAAGUCUAGGAGGGACUUAGACUGAUCAGAAGAAGGGUUUGGAAGAGUUUGAGAGAAGAUGGUCCAAGGUGCAAAGAUAGGGCAAGAUAAGAAAGAGAUUCAGAGCAUGUGUAGUCAAAGAGAGCCAUCCAAAAGCAUCCAAUGGGAGUCUUCACAUGCUUGAUCCCUUUGGCAUCUUUUACUAGAUGCUGUCUACUUUACAGCCUGUCUCCAGCCUCUCUAGCUUGAGGAAACCUUAUCCAGACUGCUCCUUCCUUAUCCAAGGGCUCCUUGGUCGUGGGUAACUCUCCAAAGUGAAGCAAGAUCACUUUCCAAGCUUUAACUGAGUUACCACAGUAAAACUAAAGUUACUGUGGUAAAACUCCAAAGUUACUGUAUGCCUCAAUCCUCUUUCUCUAUCAAUGUCUCCUCUCUUUAUUACCUCAUCUCAACAUUAGGAUCUACUAAAGUCAAGCUUGAGGGGGAGUGUUGAACUGAAGAGAAGAUAGAGCUUGUACAAUAAUAGGGCAAGCUCUAGAAGAUGUCCAGAAGAGUUCAAUCAAGCUUCAGAAGUGUUCUGAAGUAGUUAUCUUGUGAAGAUAAGUCUAGGAGGGACUUAGACUGAUCAGAAGAAGGGUUUGGAAGAGUUUGAGAGAAGAUGGUCCAAGGUGCAAAGAUAGGGCGUGUGUACGGCCUCGUACGGACAUGGGCAACUAAGAGAAGGUGUGUGGAUCAUCAGAAGAAGGAGGAAGAGUAUUGGGCAUAAAUAGGGCGAGUGGUACGGACAGGAGAUCCGUACCAUCGACCGUACGACCACACCUCUCGACCACACAUCCGGGAAACUCAAAAGAAGAGAAGUGCAAAGUUAAGGCGUGGCUUGCUUGAAGAAAUGUGACCGUUGGAAGCUAAGGGAGGAGAGGAAUAUUCCUUAGGAUCAGAUGAGUCAAGAGACAGGCUGGAAAGGGAAAGGAGCUUUACCUUUACAGCCUUAGUCACUCACGGAUCCAUCCUAGCCGUGUAAUUCAAAUGAAGCUAUCUCCUCCCUCCAUUCAGUCAAGGCGCGCCUAUCCUGUCCAGCUUGCACUAAGAAGACCAGGACCUGUCUACUCUCAUCCUGUCCAUUCAUUUUAUUCAUCAUUUACUGUUGAGAUGAGGAGAUGAGGAGUGGAUACAUUGAUAGAGGAAGAGUAUUGGGUUAGUCAGUAACUUUGGGAUUUACCACAGUAACUUUAGUUUUACUGUGGUAACUAAAGUGAGAAGAAGAGAAGUUACCCGGAUGGGUUAAAUUGGAGUCUAACUGAGGUUAAUCCUUUCUUAUCCUAAGUGAGACGUUGGAAGAGGAUAAGGAAGGAUAAGGGAUCACUUUGACAGCCUGUAUGAUGCUGGAAAGGAGAGGAUGCUUUUACAC
Molecule: long non-coding RNA, 1476 nt
Filed under: Brassica napus (rape)
Lineage: Eukaryota; Viridiplantae; Streptophyta; Magnoliopsida; Brassicales; Brassicaceae
Description: long non-coding RNA (BNAP_LNC006263)
Source: RNAcentral